CACUGAUUGUACAGCUGGCUCCCAGAAUUCCUGGAAACUUAACCAUCAGCUCCCAAGAGCUGGUACAAGCCAGCUCCAGCACACUCCCAUUGGGACUCUCAGAGACAGAGGGAAUGGAGCUUUGCCCAAAACCUCAUGGCCACAGAACCCUUUUCUUGGGACCUGUAAAAGGAUGAAUACUUUGUAGACACACUUUAGGAGAUUCUGGUUUGAUUAUUCUCUAAAUGGGGAAACUGAGAAGCUCGGGGUCUUGCCCAAGAACUCAGAUCCAAACACAAAUGAAACUCUUCGGAGCCUCAGUCCUGCAGCAAAAAGUUUAAUGUUCCUCCUUCGUUCAAAACUGUCCUAGAUUCACAACUGCCGUUUACUCGCCAUGUGCCAUGUCAGUUUCCCUCAGCAUCGGAACCACAGCACCUCUUAGCUGCACGUGGGUACCACCAGCCCGAUUUCUCCCUGAAAAUCUCUCCAUUCAUCGCUGUUCAACUUAAGGCAGUGAAAAAUUCUGUUAAAAUGCAAAUCGUACCCUGGAGGGGAAGCACAUUAAACUACUACUCUCCAUUUAAACUUUUUUGUGAAUUCGUUUUCUUGAUUGGUUUUUGAUUCAUUGAAGAAGCCCACCCAGAGUG
This 626-nucleotide long non-coding RNA is filed under the name Equus caballus (horse). RNAcentral's name for it is "lncRNA (ENSECAG00000047387.1)". Lineage: Eukaryota; Metazoa; Chordata; Mammalia; Perissodactyla; Equidae. The record is from RNAcentral.